Molecule: non-coding RNA, 28 nt
Filed under: Rattus norvegicus (Norway rat)
Lineage: Eukaryota; Metazoa; Chordata; Mammalia; Rodentia; Muridae
Source: RNAcentral
UGAGGAUGCUGAGCAUUUGUUGAAGUGU